RNAcentral lists this ribosomal RNA (485 nucleotides) under uncultured bacterium. Its description in RNAcentral is "partial 16S ribosomal RNA". It matches the Rfam family "Bacterial small subunit ribosomal RNA", at positions 899 to 1397 of the family's 1533-position model. The record is from RNAcentral.
ACUCAAAUGAAUUGACGGGGACCCGCACAAGCGGUGGAGCGUGUGGUUUAAUUCGAUGGUAAGCGGAGAACCUUACCAAGACUUGACAUCCUACUGAAAGCCACUGGAAACAGAGGCCCUCGCAAGACAGUAGUGACAGGUGCUGCACGGUUGUCGUCAGCUCGUGCCGUGAGGCGUUCCGUUAAGUCGGGUAACGAGCGCAACCCUUAUUGCUAGUUGUAUUUUUCUAGCGAGACUGCCGCGGUUAACGCGGAGGAAGGUGGGGAUGACGUCAAAUCAGCGUGGCCCUUAUGUCUUGGGCGACACACGCGCUACAAUGGCCGGUACAAUGGGUUGCCAAGCCGCGAGGCGGAGCUAAUCCCAAAAAACCGGCCCCAGUUCGGAUUGGAGUCUGAAACUCGGCUCCAUGAAGCCGGAAUCGCUAGUAAACGCGAAUCAGCCAUGUCGCGUUGAAUACGUUCUCGGGUCUUGCACACACCGCCCGU